This is an RNA transcript of Helianthus annuus (common sunflower), 7291 nucleotides long. RefSeq lists it as uncharacterized. Lineage: Eukaryota; Viridiplantae; Streptophyta; Magnoliopsida; Asterales; Asteraceae. The record is from RefSeq and is a predicted model, not a curated record. The transcript has 16 exons.
AAUCAAACCAGGAGUGAAUAUAGCAAAUGAAAGGGUCGAAACAAUUAUAGAUGAAAUUAAUUGGAUGAGGGUGAGAAAGAGAUGAGAUCAGUUGUAUUAAUUUAGGUCAUGUGAAGAGGUUUCAGGUAUGAUUUUGGUAAUCAAGAAUUACGCAUCUUAAUCUUCACCUAUAAAUCCGUGUACCAUAAUCCUUCAUACCGCUUCAAGCUUUUGAAGAUUUCUCAAAACGUUGAGCAAGUAUCAAUGGUGGAUUAUCUCUUUGGGUGAAAUUAUAAGUAAAAUUAAGAUGUCUUUCAUAUUUUAUAAUAUGUGUCUUUUUUCUGGAUUGCUAGCAAUGUUCUUGCAGGUCUCCUAGGGUUUCAAUUGGCAUGGAAGGUAAGUUUAAUACAAGAAAUCGAUUUGGGGUUUGCUUUUUUCUGUAAGUUGACGUGAUUACAUAUGUUGGUUUGGGUUGCAUGAUUGAUAAUUCAUCAAUAGAAUGUAUGAUAUUGGAUUUGGGAUUUUUUUUUUAAUUUUAUUGACUUGAGUGGCUUAAAUUAGGAUUAAUUGUCUUGGUAAUGCUAAAUUAAAGUAAUCUAUGGGACAAAACUAUAAUGCACCUUCCAGAUGUUAUACGAUUCGUACAAGUAAGUAACAUUACACAUACACUUUUUGAUUUGGGUUUAACAUUUUUUCUGACUACUUUUUUUAUUUUGCAACCUCAAGGAGGUAUGAUCCUCUGCAUAAUGGACAUGCUAUUAUAGAUGAACUGGAUGCGCUCCUAAAAGUGAUUCUUUAAUCCAUAUAUAUCAUAGAUUGUAUGUCAUGGUCUAAAUCCAUCUUUUUAAUCAUGUUUAAAAAUGUCAUGAUUAUGACUUGCAAAAUGGGUGGGUUGUAUCGGGUUGUACAUGUAAUGUGUCAAAAGAUACUGGUCAGGUUGGGUGGUGAGUUGUGUAAGGGUUCAAUUUGAGUUCAAAAUGGGCGGCUUUUAAAAAAUUGUCAAUUGGGUUCGGGUCAAAACGGGUUGGGUCACAGAGGGUUCGUGUGCUAUAUGUACAUAUGAUCAGACCUAUGCUUUUUUGAUUUGUAUCAUUUUGUGUCUUAAAAGUUUUUCAUUGUGGAAUGUGAUGGACCUAUUUUCGUUUGUUUAAUUGUUGCUCUUAUGGUUUUCUGUGAAUCAUCUUCAACAUGGUGGUUUGUUUUGGGGUUUAAAUCAAAAUUUAGAUCUUUUGAAUAAAUUAAUAGGCGUUUUUUUUUUUCUUUUUGAGAGCUGACAUAAGAAUAUACUGAUGCUACAAUUUUUUGUAGAGUAUCUCUUUGUGACGAGGAGAAACAAAGGAAGAAAAAAAAAGAAAGAAAGAAACGGUAAUUACGUGUUAUUUUUUUACUUUCUUAUUGUUUAUGUGUGUCUUUCUUACUACCUUUUUUACUUUCUCAUUUGGAUGUGAUGCCGGGAAGCACCAACAAGCGUUCGAGCUUGCCGGAGGAUUCGCUCCGUUGAAGUGCUUUGAUGAUUUUAAAAGAACCGGCUUACUUGUGAUACUGGUUCAGAGGAUAAAUGGGUCUGGGGUAACGAGGAUGGAGUUGAUUUUUCGGCUAAGAGUAUCCGGGUCAAAUUGGCUGUGGCCGCUGGGAGAGAUACAGAUCUGCAGAGGUUUCAUUGGAAUAGCUGGGUGAUGCCAAAAGUGAAUUAUUUAAUCUGGAGGGCUAUCCUAGGGGGCGUUGAUACAAAGGACGCUUUGGUGCGAAGAGGCGUGAAUUUAGGUAACACACUUUGUUGCAGGUGUGGCCUAGAAAACGAAGACGUGAAGCAUGUUUUUGUUGGAUGUCUUGCAGCCAGGAGCGUGUGGUGGCAAAUAAGUAUGGUCAACCCUCCCUUUGACGGCGAUUCAGUCGUGGAAAGAGUGGACUACUUCAACAACCAACCGGGAGCGAAGACCUGGAAGAAGGUGAGUUUGAGAGGCCACCACCCGAGCCUCAGCUUAGACGGGUUGAACUUAAAACGACAGCUUGAAGGUAAACUUUUAGGUCCUGUCAAAAUGGGUCAGUUUGACCUGUCACCAUUUUCUUUAAAUUUUAUUAAAAUAAUAAACUAAAUCUUGGUGGCUGCUAUAUGGAGACUUCAUGGGAUCACUAAGUCGGUAUAACUAACAUGCAGAAGAAGAUUUUAGAAUAUCAUGAAGGCUACAAGGUAACCCAUACUUUAUAAAUCAUCGUUUUGUGUAUAGUUUACUUACAGAAACUGUGCCAGUGCUUUUCUUCAAGCUACAUAUAUCUAUACUAAGGGUUCCGUGAUAUAAGGAAUGUCUCCGUUAUUUUUUCUGUCAACUUCAAUUAAAAUGAUAAAAGUGCCCUUUAAAAAUAAAAAAAAAAAACCACAGGGUCUUUUAAUGUGUUUACUUAAACUUAUUCCGCUUCGGGUAAUUUUGUAUGGUUAGGUCUUUUAACUGUUUAAAAACUGUCUAUUUUGUUUGGUCUAUUUUGUUUGUGUAGAUGUUAGCUUGGGGUUGAAGUGCAAAUUACAACAUAUAGGUCGCAUCACUUUUAUAAUGUAAUUUGUUUUAAUUAAUUUGGGAGCUCAUAAAUCUUUUUUUACCGCUAUCAACUAUAUUAAUAGUCUAUUGGGUUCUUUAUUUUAAACUUUUAAAUAUAUUUAUUUUAGUUCAUUACGUUUUUGUGAUCACCGUUUAACAUUGUUAACCUUAGGUUUUUUGUUACAAAAUGGAUGAUGUGCUUGAAAAUAUAGCUGAUUGUUGUCUAUAUAAUAUGCAUGCUCACAUUAUAUACAUGUGCUAACUAAGUUUGAGCCGCGGCAACCUCCUAUAACAUUUUCCCUUCACAGACCACCCGAUGCGUAUCGUGUUUCUGUUUCAUAUUGUCUACUCCGCCGUAACGCGCGAGUUUCCCACUAGUACUAUAUAUAAGCAUUUCCUAUGGCUAGAAUUGUCAUUUCUAUACAAAUUUUUAAGAUGGCAUACAAAGAGUCAAUAUAAAAUGCAUAAAUUUUUACCAUUUUCUUCCGUUACUACCCCUCUUCCCUUUUAUCUAUACUAUACUCGUUGAAUACCUACACUAAAUUCGGGAUCUGCUUAGCCAUCAAUCAAUGUGACUCUUCAAAGGCAGCAAUCAAUGUAACUCUUCAAAAGGCAAAUGGUUUUCACCAUCUCUAAUCGUCUCUUUCACUUUCCCCACACAUCCGAAACUCACCACAAUCAACCAUUACCAUUUCCUCUCCAAUGAAUCGGCAAGUGAAGCUUAAAAGUUAUUGAAUCGGCCAGUAAUCUUCUUUGAUAAAGGCUUCAAUCCCUCAUAUCCCAUAUUAACGAUGAGAGAGAGAAACGUCAGAGAAGAAAAUUGGGGAAAAUCGGCGAGGAUAAAAGGAAUCACCAGCGACUAUUCUGACCACUAGGUUGUACCGGUGGAGAGCCUAGGUUGAGGCGAAUCACCGGCAACGAUUUCAGCACUAGAUGAUGUUGCUGCUUUGCUGAAGAACUCAUCUUUGGAUUCUCAAAGGAUUUCUGAUUGAAACUCAAGAUGGGUUCUGAUUUUUAUGUGAAGUGGUUCCUCAAUGUUCAAGUCAACUUAUGAGCCGAAUUCUGAGUAUCUUGAUGAUGACGAUAGUAGCUUUGAAGGUGACGGGGAAGAAACUACAGGUAAGGUCCCAAAUCUUGAAACAGGAGCUGAAAAUAGUGUUGACAUAGAGUGUAAACAAUCACUCAAUAUUGAAGAUUACGGCCCGUUUCUUCCUUGCGCUUAGAAAAUGGUACCCGGAUCUCCAACCGAGAGGGAGUUUCGAGUCUUCAUACGCAACAACGUCUUAGUUGGAAUCUCCCAACGGGAAGUCAACACGUUUUACUCGAUUCUGACCGAGAAGAAGCAUGAUAUGGAAAAGGUGAUAGACGAGUUUUAUAUGGACAAGGUGAGCAUGGGAUUUGAGUCGGAAAGUUACACGCUUGAUGUUUAUGUUCGAAAGGAUAUGAAAGUCAAGCUUUUGGAUUUCAAUCUGUGGUGUGAGGUUAAGUUGCCAUUGCUGUUCACAUGGGCGGAACUGGAAUCGGCGCAGUUGAUGAGGGAACCAGAGUUUAGGAUUGUGGAGAGCCGAUUUGGGGUGAGACCGGGGUUGAAAACUGCGGUUCCGUAUGGUUAUCUGGAUACAAGUGAAGGGAGUGGUUGGGAUCGGCUGUUUAGAAAUGCUGAUGAAGAGUUGCGGCGCCAGACAAGGUCAGCCGGUGGUUGUUAACAGAAUAACAGUUAUGUUUGCUGGGAGAAGUCUGUAAAAGAAAUGGUAGAUGAAGCUCUACGACAUGUUCCUAACCAUGAUGGUGACAAAUUGACCAGGUCAACCAAAUUCGGGACUCUCUAGCUAUCAUGGGCGACAAUAGCACAGCUUUCAGCUUACCACAACUAUGGUCCUUUUAAUCAUUAAAAAAUAUACCAUUUUAAUAAUAAUAAUAAUAAUAAUAAUAAUAAUAAUAAUAAUAAUAAUAAUUAACGUCAGUUAUAUUAUUAUAAAAUAUAUACCAUUUUGUUAAUAAUCUUAUGUUUUGAAUGAAAUGAUAUUUGGUGGUUAAUGCAUAAAAAUAACACUCUGGGAAACCUUCAACCCCGUUUGAGCAUUUUCUUGUUAUGUUACUUGUUUGACCCGUUAGCGAUAGAGCUUAACCCAAAUUGAUGUCUGAAGCUAUACGAGGAUAGCAUGACGAAAGUGAUUUUACCGAUUCACGAGGAAUCUUUACAAUGCAUCCAUGAAGCUUCAAGAGCCGAAUCUCUGAAAUCUUUUGACGAACAACAUUUUGGCCGUCACCAUGCCAAGAAAUCUGUUGAAACACUCGAUGAAGAUAUCGAAAAGAUGUUUAAGAAUUUUAUGAUGGCAAACCAAUAUCAGUCGUCAAAACUGUGUGAGGCACUGCAUACAAAGUGCGAGGACCAAAUGGACCAACUUCAAGUACUCAGACUACCGUCCAUGGCCAAGUUUAACGCAGGCUUCCUUCAAUGCAACCAAAGUUUUGGAAAAGAGUGCGUUGGGCCAUCUAAAACCAUAUAUGAGCAACGAAUGGUGAAGAUGAUGGGAAAGUCGAAGUCAUCGUUUAUAAAGGAAUACAAUCACAGGCUAUUUAAUUGGUUGGUGGCCUUUUCACUUGUAAUGGUGAUCGUGGGUCGUUUUAUCAUAAAGUUCGAGUCAACCCCAACACGACUCGUUUAACCUUGCAAAAGAAUGAUAAAAUUUUUAUGUAUAACUUGCUGCUUAAAUUUGAUUCACUAAUCUGUUAAAUUCGUGACAUUACAUCUUACUUGAGUAGGUUUUAUGCUUUAAUAUCCUAUUUAUGUUAAAUUUUAGGAAAUUGACAUUUUGUUUUAGGAGUGAACUAUGCAACAUUUUGCUGGUAAUUCUGUUGCUAUUUUGAUAUUUUUUCAAUGUUUACUAAGUAAUUAAUUUAAUAAAUUUGUUGAUUUGUGCAACAGAAAGCAAACAUAGAUUAUUAAAACUUUUGUAUAUUGGUUUCGCCUUAGUAUAUUCUAUUACAUAAUAGUUAAUCCAUAAGACCAUAAAACCAUCUAAUCUUUCUGUUGUCUUAGAAUAUGCAAAGAGAGAUAAUUUUUUUGCUGAUGACUUAGGUUUGUAGAUUUGUAACUUUUGAGUAUUAAUAAGCAAAAACGAAUAAAAAUAAAAUUUCUUUUGGGUCAAACGGGUCUCGUUUGGGUAAAAAAAAUAUGAAAAACUUUGACUUGAUUAUCAUCGAAGGCAUAUACCCGUUACAAAAACUAUGAUCCCGCCGCAACGCGCGGGUUACCUACUAGUACCAUAUAAAGCGUCUUCUAUGUACACAAAAGUAAUUUUCUUUGUAAUUUUAAGAUGGCAGAGCAAGAGCCAUGACUUGUUCCCUAAUUUUUUAUCCCUUUCUCCCAAUUUUGCCCCCAGUUCAAUGUAUGUUUCUCAUUGUCGUUCGUGAAUGUAUAAAUUGAUAAGACGAAGUUGAUCUUCGCAUUUAAUUGGAAGAACCCUAUAACCCUUCAGUUUCCCCCUUCACUUCUGUUGCAAUUGAAUCAUAUUGAGUGAGAUUAAUUUCCUACAUUGAAUUGAUCUUUCCAUCGCCCUCCUCAAAUACAAGUUACUUAAUGCUAAUUUUUGUUCCUAAUUGAAUGUUGCAAUUGAAGGGUCGUGGGUUUGUAUCCCACCCACUGAAUUUUAGGGACCAUCAGUUUGGAAUUUUUGGUUUAUUAAUCGUAGUGAAGCCCCGAUAUCGACUGUCGAUGAGCACAGGAAACAGAAUGACGGUGGUGAGAAGAAAACAGUGCCACUAUCUUUCUCUUCAGCAUCGCUUUGGAAUAGUUUGGCCAAAACUUGAUAAUCAAGUUAAUGAAAGUGGUUGAUGUUUCUAAAUGGAAUAACCAAGUCAAGAAGCAAUAUUAAAAAGCUGGCAAUUAUACAUUAACCUUCUCUAUUUAAUCAUGUUCUGUUCUUCGAAGCUCUGGAAAUAUUGGUCAAGAUCAACUGCCCAAAUGCUACUCAGAGUUCUCAUUAAUGAUUGCAGCCCAUCUAUAUCAAUAGAUAGUAUCAGGCCUAAUAAAUGAGGCACCAAAGUUGAAUGCGGCACUAGAAAAGAAUGAAGAAGGGGAGGCGUCAAACACAACCCAAGGAGAAGGUGAAGAAGAAGAGAAAACCGAGGGUGCAGCGGCAGCGGCUCCUCGUAGAAUGACAAGACGCAACAUCUAACGAGAGAUGCAUUGUUGAAGAAUGUAUAGUUGGUAGCAGUUUAGUUGGUAUUUUAAGGAUGUUUUGAGGUACUCAGUAGAGUUUUCGACCAGUCAGAAACCGCAAAUGCUCCACUUGGUUGGCCAUAAUUUGGUUGUUUUGCCUCAGUUUGUUUUGUCUCCUUUGUAACUUGGCAAGGGUUUGAUCCGUAUAGGGAUUGUCGGAUACAACUGGUGCAGGCAACAAAGAUUAUGGGAAUCAUAAAGGCGGAUUAUUUUCUCUGGAUCAAAACAAGGGCGGGAUACGCAGAUCUGGAAUGGGAUAAAUGGAGAAGUUUUAAUUUCAGCAACUUCCCGAUAAUAUUGGGUUUGUGCAGAAGAAAAGGGAUGAUGUGGCAUUUUCACCAAAAGACCAUGAGUCUGUUGAUCAAUUUUUCCAGUUUGAAAAAGGCACUUUGAAUACUCCAUUUACACAAUAUUGUAAAAGUAUUAUAGAAAAUGUUGCUUCAAACAACACCACAUUUGAUGUGGCAUUUACACGAAGUCUUAGAAUUUUUGUAAUCGGAAUUGGACAUUUUGGUUUCACUUAAGAAUUUUUUUAUAGUAAUUCUUAUGUAUA